Molecule: long non-coding RNA, 2193 nt
Organism: Lycium barbarum (goji berry)
Lineage: Eukaryota; Viridiplantae; Streptophyta; Magnoliopsida; Solanales; Solanaceae
Exons: 3
Source: RefSeq, a predicted model, not a curated record
AAUUUUCAAUUUUAAUUAGAACAUAAAUUGUUUAUAAAUUUUACUUAGUAUAGAAAUAUUAUUGAAAAUUAGGGAAAAAUUAAUUGUGAUUAGAUUACUAAGUAAGAAUUAGUGAUUAAUUAAUUUAAUUUUUUAAUUGGGGCCCCACCCGUUUUAAAUUAAAAAAAAAAACAAAACAAAACAAAUCAGCAAAAUAUUAGAUGAGUCAUUAUAGGGGGAUUAUGUGUCAACAUAGGGCAGCCCAUAUAUUAAUUAUAUGGUGACUCACAAGUCACAUUUCACCCACAACUUGUUUCCAAAUCAUUGAAUUAGAAAGGAAAGGUAAUUUAAGCUUAGAGAAGGGGAGAAAGCUCGGCCAUGGCAGCUUGUGGUUAAGCUCACGGCCAGCCAUGGCCGGCCAGCCCUUGGUAAUUAAAUGGUUAAAUUUCAAUCACAAUUGGAGGAGAAAGAUGGAGGAAGCUCACGGCCAUGGUUGGUUUUAGCCAAGUUUGUUAAGGCUAAAAGAGCGACAAAGCGAACGGAUUUGCAAAUAGUCGUUAAACGGGUACAGAUAGUCGGUUUGGCGACCCUUCAGCAUAGGACUACUACUCAGCUGUUUUUGAGGGCUCCGUUGUUCCGGAGUCUAGACUUUUAGUACAAAUCUUGUGAUAUAUAUAUGUAUACGUUAUCCAGGAGUACGACGGGGCCCUGUCCCGUCAUAUUUCGCUAUUCGUACUCUUAGAGGUUUGUAGACAUAUGUGUGAGUUGUGUAUAAGUUCUGUUCAGCUGUGUCUGUACGAUGUGCUAUGACAUGAUGUUCGUCUGUAAUGGCAGCCUUGUCAGCUUGCAUAUGAUAUUGAUAUGUAGUGGCAGCCUUGUCGGCUUGCGUAUCAUUUCAUGAUUUGAUUAGUUGUGACUCCUCAGGAGACAGUGUAUCUGGAUAUAUAUGUACAUGAUAACGUUGUGAACCUUGAAGUUCUUUUGCAAGUUUCCAUAUUGUUCUUAGGUUCAGUUUGACUAUAUCCAAGAGGCACGUGUAUGGGUGCCCAGGUCGGGCACUAGUCAUGGCCCACGGGGUUGGGUCGUGACAGUUUGCUACGAAUACACAUGGUGUUUAAUAUGGGGCUCACAUUUGUUUUUUAACAUUGUUUGUUUUUUAAAUAUGGGAUUCACUUUUUUUUUUUCACUAUUGCUUGAUUUUGUUAAUAUGGGGUCCACUUUUUUUUUUCCGUGAGUUUGGAUGUGGUGGAUUCCACUUUUUUUUUUUUUAAUACUGGAUGGUGUUUAAUAUGGGGCCCACAAUUUGGAAUUCAUUUUUUUUAAAAUAUAUUGCUUGAUUUUGUCAAUAUGGGAUACUAUGUUCAAAACACGAUUAAUAUAAUAUUGUAGUUUGUGCUCUGUAUUUAAAAUUUUAUUAUAUUAGUGUUUGCUACGAAUACGCACGGUGUUUAAUAAGGGGCCCACAUUUUUUUUUUAAUAUUGCUUGAUUUUGUUAAUAUGGGGUUCACUUUUUUUUCCCGUGAGUUUGGAUGUGGUGGGUUCCACUUUUUUUUUAAUACUGGAUGGUAUUUAAUAUGGGGCCCAAUUUUUUUUUUAAUAUUAGUUGUUGUUUAAUAUAUAUGGGGCCCACAAUUGUUUUUUACAAUUUUUUUAAUGGGCCUGUUUAAUAUGGGGCCCAUUUUUUUUUUGUAUAUAUAUAUUAUGUUCAAAACACGAUUGAUAUAACAUUGUAAUUUGUGCUCCGUAUCUAAAACUUUAUUAUAUUAGUGUUUGCUAAGAAUACAAAGUCUGCAUUUUUUUUUUGACAUUGUUUAUUUUUUUAAUAUGGGAUUCAUUUUUUUUAUAUAUAUUGCUUGAUUUUGUCAAUAUGGGAUACUAUGUUCAAAACACGAUUAAUAUAACAUUGUAGUUUGUGCUCCGUAUUUAAAAAUUUAUUAUAUUAGUGUUUGUUGCGAAUACGCAUGGUGUUUAAUAUGGGGCCCACAUUUUUUUUAACAUUGUUUGUUUUUUAAAUAUGAGAUUCACUUUUUGUUUUUUAAUAUUACUUGAUUUUGUUAAUAUGGGGUCCACUUUUUUUUUCCGUGAGUUUGGAUGUGGUGGGUUUCACUUUUUUUUUUUUUUAAUACUGGAUAGUGUUUAAUAUGGGGCCCACAAUUUUUUUUAAUAUUAGUUGUUGUUUAAUAUAUAUGGGGUUCACAUUUUUUUUUUUUACAA